GUGUGUGUGUGUGUGUGUGUGUGUGUGUGUGGUGCACCUGUGGAGCCGCAGCUGUCCCCGCGGGCCGGCAGG
Molecule: microRNA precursor, 72 nt
Filed under: Procavia capensis (Cape rock hyrax)
Lineage: Eukaryota; Metazoa; Chordata; Mammalia; Hyracoidea; Procaviidae
Description: miRNA (ENSPCAG00000019204.1)
Source: RNAcentral